GAAGUUGACAAACCAACUGAAGUACUCGAGCCCAUACUCGACCUUGAUACUCAACCAACAAAUCCAUUAACAUCAUCCGCUGCUGUAAAACUAGUUGCUGGUAAAAACAAUGAGACAACAUUCAUUCCUUCUCCUUACAAGCCCCCACUUCCAUUUCCUGGUCGACACAAGAAAGAGUUAAAAGAUAAGUACAAAGCUAUGUUUGCCAAGAACAUCAAGGAAGUCGAAUUAAGGAUACAUAUUGCUGAUGCUCUCACGCGUAUUCCGGAUUCCCAAAAGUUCCUCAAAUACUUGAUCAUGGAGAGAAUUCAAGAGGUUCAGAAAACAACAGUUCUGAGCCAUGAGUGCAGUGCCAUCAUACAGAAGAACCAUGUCUCAGAAAAGCUAGGAGACCCUGGUUCAUCCACUCUUCCUUGCUCCCUAGGUUCAUUGACUUUCAAUAAAUGCCUUUGUGACCUAGGAGCAUUAGUAAAUCUCAUGCCACUCUCAGUAGCUAAGAGGUUGGGUUUCAACAACUAUAAAUACUGCAAUAUCUCCUUGAUCUUGGUUGAUAGGUGUGUUAGACUACCUCAUGGGUUAUUAGAAGAUUUGCCUAUCAAGAUUGGAAAUGUAGAGGUGCCUAGAGACUUCGUAGUGCUAAACAUGGAUGAAGAACCAAAAGAUCCCUUGAUCUUAGGAAAGCUCUUUUUGGCUACAGCUGGAGCAAUCAUAGAUGUUAAGCAAGGAAAGAUUGAUCUUAAUCUGGGGAAUAAUUUUGAAAUGAAGUUUGAUAUCAAUAAUGCUAUGAAGAAGCCGACAAUAGAAGAACAGACCUUCUUAGUUAAGGAAGUGGAUCAGCUAGCUUGUGAACUGCUAGUGGAACUUGAAGAAGCAAACAAUUCAAAAACUGUUUUGACCAAGAGUGGUAAAGCUGGGUAUCUCCCUAGUGAAACUUUGAGUUCUGAGAAGUCAUUAGACUCACACAAGGCAGCAGUUGGCUCAGAGGUUUACAAAGGCUUGAUGGGGUCUGAUACAAAGGUUCUGAAAGCUAAUGAAUUAAGUUCAACACAUGCUCGACCAACUAAUUCCACCAACAACUCGAAGAGCGGUGCUGGCCGCUACAUAGCUGAUGAGGUCGAGUACCCACAUGCUGGAGCUGACACAGAACAGGGCGGCUCGUCUAUGGCCUGGAAGCAAUCACAGGCAGCCAUUGAUGACCAACUCCGUUAAUUCUUCGACUGAGGUAAGCGCCUCACUUCACCAUUGUAUUAUAUCAUCUCUUGUGAUUUGUUCUUUAUUUUGUUUCUGUGAUUGGAUUUGUCCUGAGUACUCUCUUCCAAGUUUGGUCACACAGUGGACUGUGUGAUUUAAGUUUGGGAGAGGGCUCAGGAAGUGUGUGUUGCAUUGUAUAUACUCUUGAGUCUGCAUUCAUCUUAGGCAUAGAAAAACCAAAAAAAUUGAAAAAUUUCAGAAAAUGAUUUCACAAAAACAAAGUGUUCAUGUAGUUGCAUUACAUUUU
RNAcentral lists this small RNA (1498 nucleotides) under Arabidopsis thaliana (thale cress). RNAcentral describes it as "ATSL167860". The record is from RNAcentral. Lineage: Eukaryota; Viridiplantae; Streptophyta; Magnoliopsida; Brassicales; Brassicaceae.